This 106-nucleotide non-coding RNA is filed under the name Gottschalkia purinilytica. RNAcentral describes it as "Clostridium purinilyticum SAM-I sequence". It matches the Rfam family "SAM riboswitch aptamer (S box leader)". Rfam says of the family: The SAM riboswitch is found upstream of a number of genes which code for proteins involved in methionine or cysteine biosynthesis in Gram-positive bacteria. The SAM riboswitch acts at the level of transcription termination control. The predicted structure consists of a complex stem-loop region followed by a single stem loop terminator region. The record is from Rfam by way of RNAcentral. Lineage: Bacteria; Bacillati; Bacillota; Tissierellia; Tissierellales; Gottschalkiaceae.
CUCUUAUCGAGAGUGGUGGAGGGAACUGGCCCUGAGAAACCCGGCAACCCAAAGGAAACUUCCUUGAAGGUGCUAAAUCCAGCAGGUAUAUCCUGAAAGAUAAGAU